Molecule: long non-coding RNA, 1391 nt
Filed under: Felis catus (domestic cat)
Lineage: Eukaryota; Metazoa; Chordata; Mammalia; Carnivora; Felidae
Description: lncRNA (ENSFCAG00000046959.1)
Source: RNAcentral
CCUCUGUGAAGUGAAGAGAAGAAUAAAGCCUACUUCACAAGGAGUAAAUGAGACGCACCAAGUUCUCAGCGCGGCGCUGGGCACGUAGCAAACCCUGGUGACGGUGGUAGGUGGUAACCGUGGGGAUAAGGAUAAAGGUAGUGAACGGUAACCAUGGUGAUGGCUGAAUGUGGUGAUGAUGGUGAUGAUGAUUUAAUGCUUGCUGACCGAGUGAACAAUGCAGGAGGAAAAGGGGGCUAUUAUCAGUUUCUAGAAGACUCCAGACAUGAUAAACUGGGUGUUGGAGGAAGAGGAAAUGGCAGCCGCAGGAAGCUUUUGUUUGGCAGGAGGAGGAAGAGCCGGGCCGCACCGAGAGGAGCCCCCAGUGCCACAUGUUCUGAGUUCCUCCUACCACGCCUGCCAGAGCCCAGGUGGGCGUGGGGCCCGAGGAAGCCCUUGCCACCCAGCGAGUGGGGCUCCAGAGGCCGGGCACUACCACCGGGAGAGGUGACAGCUGUCAGCACCGAGGAGAAGAACAUUCUGAGGCCCAAGAAUAGCCCGACCGCAAGACAGGGAGGUGCUGUCUCUGAAGCAUCGCCCUCCUCCCUGGAGCAGAAAAGACUGCAUAUUUGGAGACCCCGAGGUUUCCUGGAACCUCCAGGAGAAGAGGCUGUACCCCAGGUAGACCAGUUUCCCUGGUGGAUCCCCAAAGCGCUGCGCGUGGGGCCAGCGUCCUCGUGGAGGGGGGUCCACGGCUGUGCUGGUGCAUGUUCUGUUGAAGGCACCCUCCUCCCACAGCUGAUGUUGGCGACAAGAAAGCGAGACUUGUGCAAGCACCAUUAGAAGACAGCGCAUGCUUUUACUAUGCGCGCGAGACCCCGGGCCGUAAGGAAGUGUUGGCAGAGCCUGGAUCCCACCGCAAACUUCAGAAAGCACAGGGAAACUUCAGAUAGACCCCAGGGCUUACUUACAUCCUUGUGUGUUUGAUGGUUUGCUUGUUACUAACACUUGAGUGCCUUGGUAUCAGGCCCUGUUCUGGGAACAGGGAGGCGGGGUGGGGUGGAAUGGCAACUAGGAAGGACCUCUGCUCUCCCUUACAUCUAGGAGGGGGACAAGAGACAGUGAAGAAGGAGAUAAAGACAGACAGCAGAUACUUUCAUAUAGCAAUCAGUGGCAUAGAGAUCUUAAGUGUGGUCAUGGGACAGAGAUGUCCAGGCCUGGGUAUGGGGUAGUUGCUCCAGUUGGGUGGUCAGGGAGGCUUCCUGGAGGAGGUGACAUUAGAACGGAUCUCUCAGAGGUGAGAAACAGCCAGCCAUGCAAAGAUCGGGUGAAGGGUACUUUGGAGCACACACCCCAUCAAAUUGCAAAGUCCCCGAGGAAGGAGCAAGCAAGGAAGGGGAGAGUGGCUGGUG